GGGUCAAGUGAUGAGUAACAAAACUGCAACAAUAUGAUGGGAGUAAUAAUACUCCUAUGAUUCUUAAGUAUUUUAAGUCUCUGAUGAUC
This 89-nucleotide small nucleolar RNA is filed under the name Setaria italica (foxtail millet). RNAcentral describes it as "snoRNA snoZ199". It matches the Rfam family "Small nucleolar RNA Z199". From Rfam's summary of the family: snoZ199 is a C/D box small nucleolar RNA, which acts as a methylation guide RNA for sites on 18S and 25S rRNA. The record is from Rfam by way of RNAcentral. Lineage: Eukaryota; Viridiplantae; Streptophyta; Magnoliopsida; Poales; Poaceae.